AUUGAACGCUGGCGGAAUGCUUUACACAUGCAAGUCGAACGGUAGAGGGGGCAACCCCUCGAGAGUGGCGAACGGGUGAGUAAUAUAUCGGAACGUGCCCAGUCGUGGGGGAUAACGUAGCGAAAGUUACGCUAAUACCGCAUACGAUCUAAGGAUGAAAGCGGGGGAUCGCAAGACCUCGCGCGAUUGGAGCGGCCGAUAUCAGAUUAGGUAGUUGGUGGGGUAAAGGCUCACCAAGCCAACGAUCUGUAGCUGGUCUGAGAGGACGACCAGCCACACUGGAACUGAGACACGGUCCAGACUCCCACGGGAGGCAGCAGUGGGGAAUUUUGGACAAUGGACGCAAGUCUGAUCCAGCCAUUCCGCGUGCAGGAUGAAGGCCCUCGGGUUGUAAACUGCUUUUGUGCGGAACGAAAAGGUCUCUCUUAAUACGGGGGGCUCAUGACGGUGCCGUAAGAAUAAGCACCGGCUAACUACGUGCCAGCCGCCGCAGUAA
RNAcentral lists this ribosomal RNA (496 nucleotides) under uncultured bacterium. RNAcentral's name for it is "partial 16S ribosomal RNA". It matches the Rfam family "Bacterial small subunit ribosomal RNA", at positions 30 to 523 of the family's 1533-position model. The record is from RNAcentral.